UGGCGGCUAAGCCAAGAGCAUCAUCCUUCAUGGCUCUCCGGGUGCACAGGGAGCCAUCAUCCCUCCUGAGAGAAGCUGGGCCUCCUGAGGCUCAUGUCCUGGGAGAAGAGCCGUCUUGGACCAAAUAUGCAGGCAAGGAGAAGCGAGAGGGAGGGAGGACCUCCUGCCUGCCUUGAUUCUUGAGAGCCCAUGUCUUGCUCCACAGAGUUAAAUUCCUGCUUCCCACUUCACUCAUUUGGGGUUUGUUUGGGGUGUUUUGUGUUCCUGUUUCUCUUUCCACUCAAAACAGCAGGUACUCGAGCAGGAGGAGGAGAAGGAGGGGGCGUCCCAUCUUCAGAAGCGAGUCCGUGGGCUGAUGGAGGAGGUGUCCCGUCUCUCGGCUGAGAACCGGAGCCUGAAGCAGAAGAGCCCUGAUCCGGAGGAAGGAACGUCCCAUCUCUCCGUUGAGAACCAGAGGCUGAAGCGGCAGGUACGUGUGCUGUGGGAGGUGGUGAUCCAUUUCCUGCCUGAGAAUCAACAGCUGAAGCAGCCGGGUCAGGGUCCUGGGGAGGUGAAAUUCCCUCUCCCAGUUGAGUUCCCAAAGGUGGAGGAGCAAGACCACGAUCAGGACGAGGUGACCCCUCGGCUGAGAACCAGGGGCUGACGGAGCAGGUAGACUCACUGAUGGAGGUUGUGUCCCAUGACCUGGCUGAGAACAACCAGCUGAAGCUGCAGCGCCCUGAUCGGGAGGAGCCGGUGUCCUGCCUGAAGCAAGAGGGGCCGCUCAGGAACAGACUCGACGGGGAGGGGGUCCCCGCACAGCCCGGUCCGUCCCCGCUGCCCUCCGCCUCGGCCCCAGCUCUGCAUCCGCCCGAGCAGGUACACGAGCAGGAGGAGGAGGAGGAGGGGGUGUCCCGUCUUCAGGAGCGAGUCCGUGGGCUGAUGGAGGAGGUGUCCCGUCUCUCGGCUGAGAACCGGAGCCUGAAGCAGAAGAGCCCUGAUCCGGAGGAAGGAACGUCCCGUCUCUCCGCUGAGAACUGGAGGCUGAAGCAGCAGGUACAUGUGCUCCUGGAGGUGACGAUCCAUUUCCUGACUGAGAAUCAACAGCUGAAGCAGCCGGGUCAGGAUCCUGUGGAUCUGAAAUCCCUUCUUCCAGUUGAGUUCCCAAAGGUGGAGCAGCAAGAUGAUGAUCAGGACGAGGUGACCCAUCUCUCGGCUCAGAACCAGAGGCUGAAGGAGCAGGUAGAAGCCCUGACGGAGGUUGUGUCCCAUUACCUGGCUGAGAACAACCAACUGAAGCCGCAGCGCCCUGAUCGGGAGGAGCCGGUGUCCCGCCUGAAGCAAGAGACAGACCGGGAGCGCAGGGCCCGACCGGGAGCCUCCGGAGCCCUCCAAACAGUUAAAAAAAUCCUUUUCGCUUCAGUAGCUUCUCCGUCCCUAGGAGCACAAAAUGGCUACCAGGCUCCCUUCUGAUGUGGGCUUUUAGCUGUUUCCUGCUCUAUUUCCUGCUGUCUGGGGGCUACCAAGGCUUGGUAAGUGACUUUUAUUUCUGACCCUUUUUUCCCCUCCAGAAGCCUCUAAGGGGAGGGAGGGGGCACUUUUUUCCUGUUCGUAACUCGAGGGAAGUGCGUAUGUCGAGUCCUUAUUUCCCCUAUAGGGGGGGUUCGUAAGUUGAAUUGUUCACAAGUAGGGUCGUUCGUAAGUCGAGACCCCACUGUAUUCGCCUGCAACCCAGACGGCCGGGUUUCCUGCCUGGCUGGGCUUUUUUCUAGCCUUGGCCAAGGACCUUCCCAGCCUUUGCUUGCCCAGGUGUCAGCCCCGCCACCUGCCCGCCACCCGCCUCCGUCUCCCCUACCUGUCCCCCUGCAUUUCCGCCUUCUUUGCUGUCUUUCUUUCUUCUCCCUCCCUUCUCUUGGCCUCACCCUCUUCCUCCCCAGUUCUAAGCAAAGCAUCUUUGCCCUGAGCCUGCAGGAGGAAGCCAGCCAAGAAGGCCGACGAGGAAGUGAAGGAUUAAAAGGACCAGCAUUUAUAUUCUCUAUUGAAAAGGACAUUGAGGAUAUUGGUAUAUCCUCUAUCCUGCAUCCUGAGAUCUGAGGUAGAAUGGGCAUUACACGUUGGACCCAUGGAGAGCAAUUCAGGGAGAUGAUGGCGCUUCAGGUCUGAACCAGGGGCCGAGGGAAGAGCCAAGCCUGGAGCCCAUACAAGCUCAGCAUCAGCUUCCCUCAGGCCCUGUGAUCAUCCUCCUAAUUCAGAGGCAAAACAGAUGCUAUCCUGGUGCCUAUCUCACUGCAAGGACCACCUCGGUGUGCGUCUCUUCCACGAGAGAGUCUCCACAGUUGACCGUCAGGCUGGGCGUUUUCAGGAAGAGGGUGGCCUCCAGGCCAGCCCUCGGCUUCUCCUUCAGGUGUGGGGGGUUCAUGGGAAUUGUGUCCCUCCCAUCACUCCUCUCUUCUCUUCUCUCCCCCUUUUCCAG
RNAcentral lists this long non-coding RNA (2452 nucleotides) under Pogona vitticeps (central bearded dragon). RNAcentral describes it as "lncRNA (ENSPVIG00000006678.1)". The record is from RNAcentral. Lineage: Eukaryota; Metazoa; Chordata; Lepidosauria; Squamata; Agamidae.